GCCAUUAUAUUUUACUUGUUUGGAUACCAUCCGAUCACCAUUGUGUGCUGCCACCACUUGUAGCCUGCAGUAGUUAUUACCGCUUCUACUGGGAACUUGCGCCAUCCGCUGCACCCUCAUGCCUUUGUGCAGCAGAGACCUUUUCGGUGUGUUGCGCGGUCGCUGCAACGAGCCGGGUUGUGAGUGCAAGCGAUACACCAUUCUGCGCCUGUCGGAAAGUGACAACCUGGUGAGGUGUGACUAUUGUGACCACGUCCCAAAUGCACACGGAAAAAUAUGUGAUCUCGAAACGAAAAAUGCAGCCGAGGCAAAGGUGCAAUGCAAUGUGCCAGGCACCGUUGUUCGAGGCCUCAGUGUCACAUGAAACUGUGGAAGCUUGCACAUCUAGUCUCCUCAGUGCAAUAUGAGAGGACUGUCCCAGUUGGUGCCUCCAUAGAAAAUGAAUCGGCCUGAAUGCCUGUGCAAGAAUCACAACCUGGCUGCUCUAAAGACUCCGCACCGUAGUCCCAUGUGCAAGAGCCCCCACUUGACAGCCCAGUGGUUGCCAUGGACAAAGAGAUCCGCGAUACUGAAUGCGGCCAAGCAGUACAAGUUUUUACAUGGACAGUUAACACGAAGUUAUUGACGACAUGCAUGGCUGAAACACGGUGAUAUGAUUUUAAAAAUUCCUGUGUUAUGAUGCAAGUGAUAGUAUUCUGUUGAAUUUUCAGAUCUAGUCAUGUGCCAGCAAGGCCUGCUGUACUUCUGGUGUAUUCUAUGUUGUAUUUUCAAAUAAAGAUGUUGCAUUCUGAAGUUAACCUUA
This is a non-coding RNA of Dermacentor albipictus, 802 nucleotides long. NCBI's taxonomy places the organism in Eukaryota, Metazoa, Arthropoda, Arachnida, Ixodida, Ixodidae. The record is from RefSeq and is a predicted model, not a curated record.